Long non-coding RNA from Nilaparvata lugens (brown planthopper), 1356 nucleotides. RefSeq lists it as uncharacterized. NCBI's taxonomy places the organism in Eukaryota, Metazoa, Arthropoda, Insecta, Hemiptera, Delphacidae. The record is from RefSeq and is a predicted model, not a curated record. The transcript has 2 exons.
AUUUGUGAAGAUUAUCAGUUCUAAAAUUGUUACUAUAAAUUAAUAUCAUUCCUGAUUGGCAGCUGAAUCUGUCCAUCGAUGAGGUGGAAUGUUUUCGUGAAGUUUCGACAAAUCUCAUUUCCUGAAUGACUAGACUAGAAAACCAGAUUGGAAAAGUGCUUUUACUUAUUGGAAGGCCGGGUUCUUCAUCUAAUUGAUCAAUGUCUUACAUUCUUAUUAAUUUUGUUUUUAAAUCAGCUCUUGAUAGUUGAAAUGAUGAUUGCCUCUUUUGCCUCUUUUAUCCAGAAGAGCAUUAUUCAAAUCGAUAUGUUCAAUCAGAAAACAUCAUUUUAAAUCUAAUAUGGAUAUUCGCGAUGUGCUUGAUUUUAGAAAAAAAUAAUAGAGCUCAUGGUUUGAUACGCUGAAUGAGGAGGUAUACUCGGUUCAUUAUUCCGAUGAAGAUCAAUUGAUUUCCAUGGUAAUAAAAUCAAUGAGUUCCGAUUGGUCGGAUAUCAAAAUAGCUAUUAAAAUGGGAAUUUUUUAUUCAGAUUUCUCGAUCAUUUCCCUAGUGCUCCAUUCGAGAGCUCAAAGUUUGGACUGUUCUUGAGCAGAAUUCACUCAUCUCCAGUGAUACCGGAACAUCCCUCAUCAUUUGUUGAUAUACCAGCUGCCCUGCAGAGACAAAAUGGUUUCGAGUGGACUGCGCGAUUGCUUUGGACUGCAAAGAGCACUCAUUUUUAUCAGCCUGAUGGUGAUCUUUACUCAGGUUCACUCCAUUGUUGGACUGAGUCUGCCUGAAUCAACCGAUGCACCCAAUGACUUGAUGAGUGAUGUCAACCAAUCACCAGACGAUUCUCUCUUGACUCGAGAAAAAAGAAGCUUCCUUCACGGCUUUGGACUUCAUAGACUCUUAGAGCUACUUGGUUUCGGCUUGCUAACUGCACUCAUAUUAAAACCCUUAGCUUUAGUCCUAAUUCCUGUUGUAGUAGUUUUCCUCUUGGUUAAAGCUGGCAUUAUCUUACUACCCGCUUUAGCAAUUCCAAAGCUCGCUCCAACAUUAGCACCAGUAAUUUCAAAAGUAAUUGCCAAAAUAGUAAGUGUUUUGGUAAAUAUAUGGAUGGACAUUUUGACUUUUGGCCAUAAAUUAUUUUCUGGAGAUCUUUUCUAGUUUAAUGGAGCAAAUUAGUCUGGAUAUGUAACUUAUGUAUUAUAUUCAUCAAAUUGUACAGCAAAUUAGCAGGAAAUGAUUUUUAUAAACUUUAAUGAAGAAUUAUUGACAUGUUAUGUAUUGUGAAUUCCUAAGAUGGUAGUAAGAGUUUUGGAAAAAUUCGACCUUGAAGAUUGUGUAAGUGGGUAAUAAAACUUUAUCACUCAAAA